GAACUAUUUACACUUCAAAGAGAUCACCUGCCAGUCUUCUCAACUCCAGCCAAGCUCACCCAAUCCAUUUUCAUAGGUCAUCUGUACAUCACAGAUAAUUUUUGCUGCACUGACUAUUUUAACAAGUAGCUUUUAGGAGAACAUUGGAGACUCUCGAGCUCUCCUAAAGGGCCGGCAACACCAGACUAAAUAGUGAUGGACCUCUCACCUCAGCAAGGGAUUGAGGGAAACUGAACUGCUUGGAAAGGUGCGACACCACCUGUGUCAUAGGAUGGAUCGAGUGUACAACAGGCAAUUAAAGGAAAAAUCCGCAGGGCUCUAGGGAAACGAGCUGGGAAUGGAACUGCUGACGGGUCUUACUAAAAGCCAGAUGUGCCGAAUUGCUGAGUGUACAGUACUACAUCGCCUAGAACUGCAGCCGUGCCUUCCCCUUCUCGUGGGCCCCUUGUCUGGACCCGCUCUGUUCCCUCCCCUGGAUUCCACCCUCUUUAGCCAAAUGCUAAAAGUGGCGGUGGCCCUUCAACCCCUCCCGCUCGUUCUACCCUCAGUGAGACUAAGCCCAUGCACCCAACUACAUGAACUCACCCUUGCCAAAUUUCUGUAAAUAUCUCGGGUUAACAAAAUCUGUCAAUCUCAGACCGAAUAUUAACCAUUGACAUCUACCUUCCGACAGUGGGGACGCGUUCGAUAGGACUGGGUGUGGAAGCGUUUCCAAAAUCUGAGUGCCUCGCUGAAACGUUUUUUCCACCGCCCCCACCCCCCAACACCCCGCGGCCCAGGGUCAUCAGCUAUUCCAUCUAUUCCUAUCAGUCCGCCUAGAAAUCUCGGUACUUUGAACCAAAUCGCUUCACAAUAAUUGCGCGGAAUGCAUUCCCUUUGUUUCGGGUUAACUCCUGGAGCCUGACCGCUCGCCGAGAUCACCUACCGCUCCCAGUCUCAUGCCCGAAAGUGAAUUUUCUCAAUUCUC
Molecule: long non-coding RNA, 967 nt
Organism: Hypanus sabinus (Atlantic stingray)
Lineage: Eukaryota; Metazoa; Chordata; Chondrichthyes; Myliobatiformes; Dasyatidae
Exons: 3
Source: RefSeq, a predicted model, not a curated record